GCAAGUCGAGCGCGCCCUUCGGGGUGAGCGGCGGACGGGUGAGUAACGCGUGGGAAUAUACCCUUUACUACGGAAUAGCCUCGGGAAACUGAGAGUAAUACCGUAUACGCCCUUCGGGGGAAAGAUUUAUCGGUAAAGGAUUAGCCCGCGUUAGAUUAGAUAGUUGGUGGGGUAAUGGCCUACCAAGUCUACGAUCUAUAGCUGGUUUGAGAGGAUGAUC
RNAcentral lists this ribosomal RNA (220 nucleotides) under uncultured bacterium. RNAcentral's name for it is "partial 16S ribosomal RNA". It matches the Rfam family "Bacterial small subunit ribosomal RNA", at positions 57 to 305 of the family's 1533-position model. The record is from RNAcentral.